This 629-nucleotide ribosomal RNA is filed under the name Lactobacillus crispatus. RNAcentral describes it as "bacterial SSU rRNA". It matches the Rfam family "Bacterial small subunit ribosomal RNA", at positions 68 to 677 of the family's 1533-position model. Lineage: Bacteria; Bacillati; Bacillota; Bacilli; Lactobacillales; Lactobacillaceae. The record is from RNAcentral.
GAUUUACUUCGGUAAUGACGUUAGGAAAGCGAGCGGCGGAUGGGUGAGUAACACGCUGGGGAACCUGCCCCAUAGUCUGGGAUACCACUUGGAAACAGGUGCUAAUACCGGAUAAGAAAGCAGAUCGCAUGAUCAGCUUUUAAAAGGCGGCGUAAGCUGUCGCUAUGGGAUGGCCCCGCGGUGCAUUAGCUAGUUGGUAAGGUAAAGGCUUACCAAGGCGAUGAUGCAUAGCCGAGUUGAGAGACUGAUCGGCCACAUUGGGACUGAGACACGGCCCAAACUCCUACGGGAGGCAGCAGUAGGGAAUCUUCCACAAUGGACGCAAGUCUGAUGGAGCAACGCCGCGUGAGUGAAGAAGGUUUUCGGAUCGUAAAGCUCUGUUGUUGGUGAAGAAGGAUAGAGGUAGUAACUGGCCUUUAUUUGACGGUAAUCAACCAGAAAGUCACGGCUAACUACGUGCCAGCAGCCGCGGUAAUACGUAGGUGGCAAGCGUUGUCCGGAUUUAUUGGGCGUAAAGCGAGCGCAGGCGGAAGAAUAAGUCUGAUGUGAAAGCCCUCGGCUUAACCGAGGAACUGCAUCGGAAACUGUUUUUCUUGAGUGCAGAAGAGGAGAGUGGAACUCCAUGUGUA